CAGCAGCCACGGUAAUACGUAGGUGGCAAGCGUUGUCCGGAAUUAUUGGCGUAAAGGGCUCGCAGGCGGUUUCUUAAGUCUGAUGUGAAAGCCCCCGGCUCAACCGGGGAGGGUCAUUGGAAACUGGGAAACUUGAGUGCAGAAGAGGAGAGUGGGAUUCCACGUGUAGCGGUAAAAUGCGUAGAGAUGUGGAGGAACACCAGUGGCGAAGGCGACUCUCUGGUCUGUAACUGACGCUGAGGAGCGAAAGCGUGGGGAGCGAACAGGAUUAGAUACCCGUGUAGUCCCUGUCUCUUAUACA
RNAcentral lists this ribosomal RNA (301 nucleotides) under uncultured bacterium. Its description in RNAcentral is "partial 16S ribosomal RNA". It matches the Rfam family "Bacterial small subunit ribosomal RNA", at positions 509 to 808 of the family's 1533-position model. The record is from RNAcentral.